RNAcentral lists this transfer RNA (76 nucleotides) under Candidatus Omnitrophota bacterium. RNAcentral's name for it is "tRNA-Ala". It matches the Rfam family "tRNA". Rfam says of the family: Transfer RNA (tRNA) molecules are approximately 80 nucleotides in length. Their secondary structure includes four short double-helical elements and three loops (D, anti-codon, and T loops). Lineage: Bacteria; Pseudomonadati; Candidatus Omnitrophota. The record is from RNAcentral.
GGGGCUGUAGCUCAGUUGGGAGAGCGCUUCGUUCGCAUCGAAGAGGCCAGGAGUUCGAUCCUCCUCAGCUCCACCA